This 253-nucleotide ribosomal RNA is filed under the name uncultured bacterium. RNAcentral's name for it is "partial 16S ribosomal RNA". It matches the Rfam family "Bacterial small subunit ribosomal RNA", at positions 524 to 776 of the family's 1533-position model. The record is from RNAcentral.
UACGUAGGUGGCAAGCGUUGUCCGGAAUUACUGGGCGUAAAGGGCUCGUAGGCGGCCAACUAAGUCAGACGUGAAAUCCCUCGGCUUAACCGGGGAACUGCAUCUGAUACUGGAUGGCUUGAGUUCGGGAGAGGGAUGCGGAAUUCCAGGUGUAGCGGUGAAAUGCGUAGAUAUCUGGAGGAACACCGAUGGCGAAGGCAGCCUCCUGGGCCAAUACUGACGCUCAUGCACGAAAGCGUGGGGAGCAAACAGG